This 532-nucleotide ribosomal RNA is filed under the name uncultured marine eukaryote. Its description in RNAcentral is "SSU rRNA". It matches the Rfam family "Eukaryotic small subunit ribosomal RNA", at positions 616 to 1148 of the family's 1831-position model. The record is from RNAcentral.
UGGUUAAAAAGCUCGUAGUUGGAUCUCGGCGGACUGAGGGCGGUUUGCUUGCUAGUAUUACUGCCCUAUAGUCCGUAGUUUUGCCAGAGGUUUCGGGGUGCUCCUAAUCGAGUGUCCCGGGAUGCUGGCAGGUUUACUUUGAAAAAAUUAGAGUGCUCAAAGCAGGCUAUUACGCCUGAAUAUUCGUGCAUGGAAUAAUAGAAUAGGAAGUCGUUUCUAUUUUGUUGGUUUUCGGAAAUCGACUUAAUGAUUAAUAGGGACAGUCGGGGGCAUUUGUAUUCAAACGACAGAGGUGAAAUUCUUGGACCGUUUGAAGACAAACUACUGCGAAAGCAUUUGCCAAGAAUGUUUUCAUUAAUCAAGAACGAAAGUUAAAGGUUCGAAGGCGAUUAGAUACCGCCCUAGUUUUAACCAUAAACGAUGCCAGCUAGCGAUCUGCGGACGUUUUUUUUGUAGACUCCGCAGGAAGCUUCCGGGAAACCAAAGCAUUUGGGUUCCAGGGGGAAGUAUGGUUGCAAAGCUGAAACUUAAA